Long non-coding RNA from Lepus europaeus (European hare), 862 nucleotides. RefSeq lists it as uncharacterized. The transcript is spliced from 2 exons. NCBI's taxonomy places the organism in Eukaryota, Metazoa, Chordata, Mammalia, Lagomorpha, Leporidae. The record is from RefSeq and is a predicted model, not a curated record.
GCCCAGCUCGGGGUUCAAGGAAGGCUUCCUGGAGGAGGGAACACAGAAGGCGCACAUCCUAAAAGUGCUGGCAUCCCAUAUGGGCAGUGGCUCGAGUCCCGGCUGCUCCACCUCUGACCCAGCUCUCUGGCCUGGGAAAGCAGUGGACGAUGAUUCAUGUGCUUGGGCCCCUGCACCCGCGUGGGAGACCCAGAAGAGGCUCCUGGCCCCUGGCUUCGGAUCGGCGCAGCUCCGGCCGUUGCAGCCAUUUGGGGAGUGAACCAGCGAAUGGAAGACCUCUCUCUGCCACCUCUCUCUGCAACUCUACCUCUUAACAAAACAAAACAAAACAAAACAAAACAAAACAAAAAAACAAGGCUGGGACUGCAUUGUGCCCUAGUGGGUUAAGCCACGUGUGAAUGCAAGUUGGAGUCCUGGCUGCUCCACUUCCGAUCCAGCUGCUCCCUAAUGCAUCCGGGAAAGCAGUGGAAGACGGCCCCAGUGCUCAGGCCCCUGCACCCAUGUGGGAGACCCGGAUGCAGGCUCCUGGCUCCACUUUGGCAGUGGUGGGCAUUCUGGGGAUUGACCCAGUGGAUGGAAAGCUCUCUUUGUGUCUGUCACUCUUUCCAAUAGUGCAUCUUAAAAAAAAAAAAAAGAGGCUGGAGCUGGGAGGAAUCACGCGGAGACCCAGCAGCUGCUGUGGAGGUGGUGAAUUUUAUUAAGGGGGGGGCGUCCACCAGGGCGGGAAGGCGGGGCGCGCGGGGCGGGGCGGCCCGCGAGGCGCUCACUGGUUGUCGCUGGGCGCCGCCGCGGGCGCCUUGCUGGUCACGGCGGCCUGCACCUUCUCCACCAGCCCGGCCCACUGGCGCUGCAUGUCUUCCAC